This 480-nucleotide ribosomal RNA is filed under the name uncultured bacterium. Its description in RNAcentral is "bacterial SSU rRNA". It matches the Rfam family "Bacterial small subunit ribosomal RNA", at positions 32 to 524 of the family's 1533-position model. The record is from RNAcentral.
AUCAACGCUGGCGGCGUGCCACAGACAUGCAAGUCGAACGAUUAAAGCUCUCUUCGGAGAGUGCAUAAAGUGGCGCACGGGUGAGUAACACGUAAGUAAUCUACCUUCGAGUGGGGAAUAACGUCCGGAAACGGACGCUAAUACCGCAUAACGCAGCGGCAUCGCAAGAUGACAGUUGUUAAAGAUUUAUCGCUUGAAGAGGAGCUUGCGGCAGAUUAGCUUGUUGGUAAGGUAACGGCUUACCAAGGCUACGAUCUGUAUCCGGUCUAAGAGGACGGUCGGACACACUGACACUGAAUAACGGGUCAGACUCCUACGGGAGGCAGCAGUCGGGAAUUUUGGGCAAUGGGGGAAAGCCUGACCCAGCAACGCCGCGUGAAGGAUGAAGUAUUUUCGGAUGUAAACUUCGAAAGAAUGGGAAGAAUAAAUGACGGUACCAUUUAUAAGGUCCGCUAACUACGUGCCAGCAGCCGCAGUAAU